AGAGUUUGAUCAUGGCUCAGAUUGAACGCUGGCGGUAGGCUUAACACAUGCAAGUCGUGCGAGAAAGUAUCUUCGGAUAUGAGUAAAGCGGCGGACGGGUGAGUAACGCGUAGGAAUCUACCUAGUAGAAGGGGAUAGCCCGAGGAAACUCGGAUUAAUACCGUAUACCUCCUUUGGGAGAAAGAGGGCCUCUCUUUGAAGCUUUCGCUACUAGAUGAGCCUGCGUAAGAUUAGCUUGUUGGUGAGGUAAAGGCUCACCAAGGCUACGAUCUUUAGCGGGUCUGAGAGGACGAUCCGCCACAUUGGGACUGAGACACGGCCCAGACUCCUACGGGAGGCAGCAGUGGGGAAUAUUGGACAAUGGGCGCAAGCCUGAUCCAGCCAUACCGCGUGUGUGAAGAAGGCCCUAGGGUUGUAAAGCACUUUAAGUUGGGAAGAAAA
Molecule: ribosomal RNA, 441 nt
Filed under: uncultured marine bacterium
Lineage: Bacteria
Description: bacterial SSU rRNA
Rfam family: Bacterial small subunit ribosomal RNA
Source: RNAcentral